Non-coding RNA from Podarcis lilfordi (Lilford's wall lizard), 7108 nucleotides. The record is from the annotation of a GenBank genome assembly. Lineage: Eukaryota; Metazoa; Chordata; Lepidosauria; Squamata; Lacertidae.
UCAAGGACGCUUUACAUGUUAAACAGUUUCACAACGGACCACAGCUCUGUAACAGGUUUAAAAGAAAAAGAUCAGGAAUCAUUUCAUGGAAAUAAGCUAUACAUAAGAAGCAAUAUCUUUUGUUCUACGUUCUAAGGCUGCUUUCUAUGGAGACGUGUAUUUAGAGAACUAAACCGCCAAGUUGAAAGCACAGUAAUUCUAGUUAAACAUCCAGAAUAUUUUAGCAUUAAGAGUUAAUGGCUUAACUACUGACCUCUCAUCUUCUACCGUGCAAGAAUGGGAUUCAGAAUUUCAGAUUUAAGCAGGACCUAGCCAAAUCAGGUUUAGGUUGAUCAACGUGCAAAACCCUUUACUCAUUCUUCAAUGAUUUAAAUUUAUCUUGCAUCAAUUUUUUAAAAGUAUAUUUCUAAUUUAAAGCUGAAGUGCAAGUCUUAACUUAUCCAGUCAAAGACUUCCCUUUUUUUAAAAAACAAAACAAAACAUUGCUCCCUUGUCAACUCUUCACUGACCGUAAUUGCCUCAGUUCAGUGCUUUAAAGUGACAUUCAGCUAUGCCUGUUUGUUUAGAUUAAGCAUCCAAAAGGUAAGUGAUCCAAAAACUCCGCAUUAUUCAAACUGAAAUACAGAAUUUCCUAUUACAGUACAAGAAACACAGGUCUGCCAUCAAAAACAACAGCUUAAAUGCCAUGUCGUCUGUCCUAAUCUACAGCACCAUUUAACCUGGAAUGUCCUGACAUUACACUAUCCUCCCAUUAGCCGCUGCUCUUGUCAUCAAGUGUGGGAGAGCAAACCAAGCAUAUCAUCUAUAUGUAAGGAUUUUGGAAAAGCUGUUGGGGUGGGGGAGCUGUGCUCUUUGCUCUUUCUGGCAGCAGCCCUUUUGCUCCUUGCAAUGUACAGACUGAGAACAAAUGUGCAAUUGCCUCAGUUUAGUAUUUCCUGGGUCUCCCCAUCUCAAAAUCACAAAGUAUUCAAAAUCAAGAGCAGUAUUUAUGGGCUUUUCUGAAGUAUGCAUGAUGCCAAAUUCCAUUAUGCUAGCUUGCUUUAUGAGAAGCACACAUUGCAUAUGACUUGAGCACAACAACAUAGCAGCAUUCAGGAAUAUAUGUGCCCUAGUAAACAAUUCUGUACAUUUCAACUUAACAUUGUAAACCGUUUCAGUACAGCACUGCACUUUCAGUUUUCGGCUCUUACGUACAAAAUAACCGUAUUUCAUAUACCAAAGUCAGUGGAAUCCUGUUAGUUUUAACUCCAAAUAGCCCUCAGUUUUCCCAGCUUGAUUAUUUGCAUCCCGCUCAUUGCCCUGCAUUAUCCCUUAGUGCGUUCCGAUUUGUCCCUUGCCAAGUUACAUUUUGCUGACAUUGGCAGAAAUAGCCCUAUUGGCUUGUAUUAUUUGUAUACCUGACUGGGGCUUGCAUUUAAAUAGCACUUGGGUCUUCUUCAGAUUUAACCUUUGCUUCCAUAGAAUUGCUCUUGUAAAGCUACACUUAGGGGAAACCUUGUCCGAUUAGUAAUACACAUGAAUUUUCUGGAGCAAGAGUUGAUUUUUGCUGGCUCCUGCUUAAGGAACAGUCACACAACCAUACAUAGUGGUGAUCAAACAGUGUGUGUGUGUGUGUGUGUGUGAGAGAGAGAGAGAGAGAGAGAGAGAUAUUCCCUAAGACAUAGGCAAGCAUGCUAUCUAGAAGUUACCCCACUUAGAAUUCCCUUUCAGGGAGUUUUGCACAAGUGUAGGUCCUGUGAUAUUAAUAGGGCAUCUUGGAGUAUAAGGGCAGGAAGCAAAUGAUAUAAAGAAAUGACCAUAUUUAAUAUUGUGAGCUGAACACCAACUUACAUUAUUGUGUAGAUGCUAGGUGCUUUCACAACAGGUAGCUUGUGAUAACCACCUGUUUGGUUCUAAUUCUAAAUUGCCAAACAUGGAUUUUCAUGGCCUUCAUUUGCAAGAAAUUGCAGUUACGUGUACGCGAGGUAUUAUUCAGCGAAGUAAUCUUUAACAUUGUAGCAAAGAUGCUUACUGAGAAGAGGGCAAACAAAGCAGUGUUGCAAUUUGACUUGCAAUUCAUGCUAUAUUGGCUGCAGUGCUUGUUAUAAUUGCUUGGGGGGAAAACAGAAAGCUUCAUAGUAUUGUGCGCACUGGAAAUGACAAUUCAACAGGAUUUCUAGGGGGCGUGAUUUAACCCAAUUGGCAUAAGUAAUAGCUAUCAAAGGAAGCAGUCCUCUGGUGAGAGAAAAACAUUCAUGUCAUACAAUGGAAGUUGUCACUCAAACUGCUUCUGCAGCGGAUAGAGAGCUCUGAUCUAUAACGGGAGAUAUUUGCAUAUCACAGUUCCCAUCAAGCAUGCAGAGAAGUUGCACAACUUCAAAUGGAACUUAGUCCUGCACCCAACACAAGAGCUCAGUACAGGGAAUGGAGCAUUUAAUAGGGGGCUUGUGUUUUAACUGACAAGUUGUGCAAGUGAAAAGGCUGAACUGACGCCUGUCUCUUCAUGCACCAUGGAUUAAAGGGAUGCACAAUCUAUCCAUGGUGUGGCCAAAACUGUGAUCUUAAGGCUCCACGGAGGGCUGCUUUACACAGCAGCAUGAGCCUGCCACAGGCUUUGGAAAUGGCAUAAGCUACAGAGCAAGUGACUGAGUAAAUCACCCCUAGGCUGCUCCUCCAAUCUCUGACAAUUUGCAGGUACAUUUACAAGGCUGGCUAGCCCUUUGCACGGCACGACUCCUGCAGAUCCUAAAAGGCAGUUUUGGUUACGCUGGAAUGUAAGCCAUUAGCAUAGUCUUAAAGGGGAACGUCUACAGAAUGCUGUCAUCACUAAAUUUUGUGCGCACCUUUGCUUCUCCUGCUGUGCUUAGGCCUGCCUAUAGGAUCACUGCAGAAGACAGUGUUUCUCUCCACCGCUAGCCAGCCACACAUUAUGUUUAAUUCACCUCGAGUUUCAGUUCUUAAAGCGCAUGGCCAAGUGUGUCAUCAACUGUAAUCGGAUACCAAUUGAAAAGUUAAAAUGUGAAUGGUUCCAUCUGAAAACACAAGCACCUAUGGAGUUGUGGGACAAAUGUCAUUCUCAACUAUGUUAACAAGCACAAACAAACCUCCCUGUGUAUUUCUGCAACGUACCCUUCGCAAAAAAAAAGAGCUCCAAACAACCGGAGAGGAUUGAGGAGAUAAGAAGGAAUGAAGGAAGGGUCUCUCCCCCCGCCCCAAUUCCUCUGUAAUGCAUACACCAGCUUGUAAAUAUACAACACACUGGCCAUCAUUAGCCUACAACAAUUUCAUUCUGAGGAAUUAUACAGAUCUACAGUUUUAGUUUAAUGUUACAACAGCAUAUUUUCUUCAGAGUCUAAAACUCUGUGGAGUGUUCCAUUUGUGUGAAAUUUCUGCCUUGGUACCAAAUGGCCUAAACGUCUCAACUGCUAUAGGAAAGCACAGGAACAUUAGAAGCACCUGUGGCCUUCAGAGGCAGGAAUGCCAAAUGGCGACAUCUUCAAGGAACAAUGGGGGACAAUUAAUAGCCCAAGCAUACUACGUUUAUAAUAGUCCCAAGGUCUCUUGACAGUUAGGGAUGGAGUGCUUGUACUAGAUGAGAAGUACAAUUAGCUUCUCAUUACACCAACUUGCCAAAGCCAAUUUCUAUUAUAUGCAGGACCAGGGUGGUGAAGAAUGGAAGAACCCCUAUUACCAAUGUAAAAUUCUCUCAAAGUUCAGUGGUUUGCAACAAUCUGUCCCAAAAUUCUACCCAUUUAGCAGCACUGGGUCUCAGGACAUUACCACACAGCUAUUGUCAUUUAAAAUUCAAUGGAUAUACCUCAACACACAAACCUUGACAGAUGCACUCUCUGUAGACAAGUCGCUUGCUUAUUUAAAAAAAGAAUUCUUCAAAAUAGGUAAGCACUUUUAGCAACAUUAAAUAUCUUCAGCUCAAUCUAAUAAAACUGCUUUCCUCUUAUCCUAUGUCUAAAUGAUGUUAAUUUUGCCUGAUUAUUCCUACUGGCCAGAGAGCAACCUUUGCUACCAUACAGCCGUGACUCACAAAGACUUUCUUUCUCUCCUUUCUGCCUUCAAUUAAUAGCUCUGCAAAAUGGAGACAGACUUGAAAAUUAUACACAUUUUAUUAGACUGACUGUAAAACCAAAAUGCUGAAGCAUUUCCUCUUCCCAAGUUGGUCCCCUGAGAAUAGACAGUGCAUCACCCACAAAGUAUAUCAGGCAAUUAGAUUAUUAAUAAACAAACAGCCUGCCAGUAGCAGCUAUCCAGUACAACUUUGACAUUAUUAGUAGCAAAUUUCCAACAAGGCCCCUAUCCACAGCAGCUGCUUCACAGCGUAAUUGUCCAAUAUGCUUCAGUUUCCUCCUGUUCCCAUUCUGAGCAGUGGCAGAAGUUUGAAACUCAAGAGACAACAGUAACAAUAUUUCCAUCUUGGAGAAAACAGGAGUGCUCUGAGUGACUGGAAAGACUCAAAAGGUGGUUGGUUUCCCAACCAGCCUAUUCCUUGUGUUCUUCCCUCUCAGUUUAAAAAUAAUUGCACCUCUUUCCACUGAUUUUUAGGCCCAAGAAGGCCACAACCACCAUGUUGAAGUGCUGUCUUUGAGCUUCUCUAUUCCACUAGUACUUUCUUCUACUUAUUAAAGAACCUUGAAGCCCAAUCACUAGUCAGACGUACUCUGCACAUUCUGAUAGCUGAUGGUGCAAGGCUAACUGUACACAAUCCUGGUUUUAUACAGUGAUAAACUUAAUUCAGCUCUCAGUCAUUCCAUCAACAUUAUAAAUAGUCCAACACACUGUCCCCUUAACAGCUUAUAAAACAGUACAUCCCAAGGAUACAUUUGCACUCCUUUAGAUUUCAGUACAUUUUCAUUGGGGUACAUUUCCCCCUUGCUUUUGGAGGCUGCAACAGGGAGAUCUGUAACACAGCUUUGUCAAAUGACUGGACUCACCUGACGGGUGUAUAUCUGUGCCACCCAGGUGGGAUUAGCAUUGGCCACUAGCUUGAGGAAGGAAUUUAGUCGCCUCCUAGGAACUUUUGUGGUUGGUGCUCCCGGAAGCGGCUUCAGUUUGCGGUUUUGCCAAGCUAAGAUAAAAGCCGUAACUAAGGAUAGGUCUUAAAAAGCAGAGACAUCACCUUGCCAACAAAGGUCCGUAUAGUUAAAGCCAUGGUUUUCCCGGUAGUGAUGUAUGGAAGUGAGAGCUGGACCAUAAAGAAGGCUGAUCGCCGAAGAAUUGAUGCUUUUGAAUUAUGGUGCUGGAGGAGACUCUGGAGAGUUCCAUGGACUGCAAGAAGAUCAAACCUAUCCAUUCUGAAGGAAAUCAGCCCCAAGUGCUCACUGGAAGGACAGAUCCUGAAGCUGAGGCUCCAAUACUUUGGCCACCUCAUGAGAAGAGAAGACUCCCUGGAAAAGAUCCUGAUGCUGGGAAAGAUGGAGGGCACAAGGAGAAGGGGAUGACAGAGGACGAGAUGGUUGGACAGUGUUCUCUCAAAGCUACUAACAUGAGUUUGACCAAACUGCGGGAGGCAGUGGAAGACAGGAGUGCCUGGCGUGCUCUGGUCCAUGGGGUCACGAAGAGUUGGACACGACUAAACGAUUAAACAACAACAACAAGGAUAGGUCAGGGGUAAAGACAGUGCAAUUAUUAAGGUGGUGUGUGCCAAUUAUCUCCCUGAACUUCCCAGGCAUGCCAGGCACACAGUAGGGCAUGGGCCCUGGGUCCAAGAUGCCAUUACCUUUCUGGUGAGUGCAGUGGACCUGUCUCCCAUGCUGGCCUUCUGGACCCUGAUGGGAUGUUCAAAAGGUGAUCGUGUCUAAGGUGGUAAUGGAUGUCUAAGAAAGAGGGAGCACACACUGAAGUAGCUGCUGUCCAAAGGCCACCAUGGUUGUGGUCCAUUUUGAAGUGUGGUGUAGAUGUUUUUGGACUGGCCCAUGUAGGAGAUAUCCAGCGGUGGAGCAUUUGCUGAAAAGGCUGCUGCGGCCGCUGUUUAAUUGGAACUGUGUUGUGUUUUGGCAACCUGAACCUUUGGCUGUCAUAGGCCAUAGAUAUGGAAGCCUUAAUCCACCUGGCGAGGGCAGGGGGAGAAGACUUCCUAGCUCAGAUUCAAGGGGAGGAAGAAAGCGAGUAAGAAGUCGGUCUAAAUAGAUGAGUUUUGGCAACAACUCUUAAGGCUCUGAAUACACUCAAAGAGUGCCGUGCCCUCUCUGUGGAAUGAGGGGGGUGGGCAACAGUUGGUAGGAUGAUCCCGAUGCUCAUGGAGAGUGAGUUUAUAUUUGGCACAAGACCACUCCAUCACUGUGGAAGAAGCCUCUUCCUCACUAUCAGAAUCACCCUACACUCAGCAUCACUCAGGCCACUCUUGCUGGGAAGUGUCCAAAGUAAAAGUAGAAGAGUUGUCUAAAAGACUGAGGGACUUCCCAAUUCUGCAUGAACUGUACAGUAGACCAGUUCUUAUGCUAUUAACUUUGCAGAAUGGUUUAAUUAAACAAUCAGUUAAAAACUUCCAUUGGUCCAAUCAUCUAUUCUGCGCAUUUCGUCCAACAAUCCUUAGGUAACCAUCAGCGUGCACACCAAGAAAGAGAGAUAGAAAAACAUGGAAGCCAAUGAAAUGUCAAUGCAGCUGAGCUCCCAAGCAGGAUCAUAGGGGAAAACUCCAUGGUGUGGGCUGCAGGAUUAGGAGAAACAGGCCUUGAAAAUAUAAGCCUGAGAAAGAUUCUAGAAACCAAGUACGCAAUAAGCACUGAAGUGAAAGGAACAAAAAACAAGCCUUAAAGCAGGAAGUGGAGAGUGUUAUCUCCAGUGCUACUGCUUCAAUCAAUUGCAAUGUAAUUGUAUCAUUAAAAUUCAUUAACUUAAUUGGUUUAAUGUUCAGAAGCACACACACCAAGUAGCAAUUAGAUCACAAGGAAAGUAAACAUAACACGACAGCCACCAAUACUCUGGUUGUGGCUGGAACUGACCAGAAUUACGAGAAGUCUUUGUAAGACAGGGUGGAAGGGGUGCAGAAAGAAAAAGGAGCAUUUUAAAAACUGAAUCAAGGAAAGGUGAUCUGAUCACCAAAGAGGAGAAACUCAGCCAAAAAAGCAGGUGAGGGGAAAUAGGAGAGAAUGAACAAAUUUGGGCCUUAAACAAU